Molecule: transfer RNA, 77 nt
Filed under: Clostridiaceae bacterium
Lineage: Bacteria; Bacillati; Bacillota; Clostridia; Eubacteriales; Clostridiaceae
Also listed under: 1 other name
Description: tRNA-Arg
Rfam family: tRNA
About the family: Transfer RNA (tRNA) molecules are approximately 80 nucleotides in length. Their secondary structure includes four short double-helical elements and three loops (D, anti-codon, and T loops).
Source: RNAcentral
GGGUCCAUAGCUCAGCUGGAUAGAGCAACAGCCUUCUAAGCUGUGGGUCGAGGGUUCGAAUCCCCCUGGGCUCACCA